GAAUGCUGACAUAAGUAACGAUAAAGCGGGUGAAAAGCCCGCUCGCCGGAAGACCAAGGGUUCCUGUCCAACGUUAAUCGGGGCAGGGUGAGUCGACCCCUAAGGCGAGGCCGAAAGGCGUAGUCGAUGGGAAACGGGUUAAUAUUCCCGUACUUGGUGUUACUGCGAAGGGGGGACGGAGAAGGCUAUGUUGGCCGGGCGACGGUUGUCCCGGUUUAAGCGUGUAGGUGUGUGUUCCAGGUAAAUCCGGUUCACUUUAACACUGAGGCGUGACGACGAGGCACUACGGUGCUGAAGCAACAAAUGCCCUGCUUCCAGGAAAAGCCUCUAAGCAUCAGGUAACAUCAAAUCGUACCCCAAACCGACACAGGUGGUCAGGUAGAGAAUACCAAGGCGCUUGAGAGAACUCGGGUGAAGGAACUAGGCAAAAUGGUGCCGUAACUUCGGGAGAAGGCACGCUGACACGUAGGUGAAGUGAUUUACUCAUGGAGCUGAAGUCAGUCGAAGAUACCAGCUGGCUGCAACUGUUUAUUAAAAACACAGCACUGUGCAAACACGAAAGUGGACGUAUACGGUGUGACGCCUGCCCGGUGCCGGAAGGUUAAUUGAUGGGGUCAGCGCAAGCGAAGCUCCUGAUCGAAGCCCCGGUAAACGGCGGCCGUAACUAUAACGGUCCUAAGGUAGCGAAAUUCCUUGUCGGGUAAGUUCCGACCUGCACGAAUGGCGUAAUGAUGGCCAGGCUGUCUCCACCCGAGACUCAGUGAAAUUGAACUCGCUGUGAAGAUGCAGUGUACCCGCGGCAAGACGGAAAGACCCCGUGAACCUUUACUAUAGCUUGACACUGAACAUUGAGCCUUGAUGUGUAGGAUAGGUGGGAGGCUUUGAAGUGUGGACGCCAGUCUGCAUGGAGCCGACCUUGAAAUACCACCCUUUAAUGUUUGAUGUUCUAACGUGGACCCGUUACCCGGGUUGCGGACAGUGUCUGGUGGGUAGUUUGACUGGGGCGGUCUCCUCCUAAAGAGUAACGGAGGAGCACGAAGGUUGGCUAAUCCUGGUCGGACAUCAGGAGGUUAGUGCAAUGGCAUAAGCCAGCUUGACUGCGAGCGUGACGGCGCGAGCAGGUGCGAAAGCAGGUCAUAGUGAUCCGGUGGUUCUGAAUGGAAGGGCCAUCGCUCAACGGAUAAAAGGUACUCCGGGGAUAACAGGCUGAUACCGCCCAAGAGUUCAUAUCGACGGCGGUGUUUGGCACCUCGAUGUCGGCUCAUCACAUCCUGGGGCUGAAGUAGGUCCCAAGGGUAUGGCUGUUCGCCAUUUAAAGUGGUACGCGAGCUGGGUUUAGAACGUCGUGAGACAGUUCGGUCCCUAUCUGCCGUGGGCGCUGGAGAACUG
RNAcentral lists this ribosomal RNA (1389 nucleotides) under Salmonella enterica. Its description in RNAcentral is "partial 23S ribosomal RNA". It matches the Rfam family "Bacterial large subunit ribosomal RNA", at positions 1292 to 2664 of the family's 2925-position model. Lineage: Bacteria; Pseudomonadati; Pseudomonadota; Gammaproteobacteria; Enterobacterales; Enterobacteriaceae. The record is from RNAcentral. RNAcentral also lists the same sequence under 1 other name.